CCCUAUGGGGUGCAGCAGGAGGUUGGAGUAGUAAGGGCAGAGUCCUUCCGCGCAGACGCCCUCGAUGAUCGAGUCGCCGAAUCCGAUCGCCUUCUUGGGUCGCGUCGGGCAAGGGGUGAGCGAAGCGCCCGCGUUCAGUUCGAUGCCCGCGAGCCGCAGAUGGACCGUCGGUGCCUUCCACCGAUUGGGGCCCAGGCAGGCGGAGCGGAAGUAGACCUCUAGUCGAUGCUCCCGGGCCGGGUCGAGCCCGUCGGCCAGCGGGAGCGUGUAGACCGCGCCGGUCUUGGUGAGCUGAACGGUUUUGAACUCGCCGAAGUCGAUCGAGUAGUCGAUCACCGGCAUCGCGGCGGGGGGGC
Molecule: ribosomal RNA, 356 nt
Filed under: uncultured prokaryote
Description: partial 16S ribosomal RNA
Source: RNAcentral